UACGAAGGGUGCAAGCGUUACUCGGAAUUACUGGGCGUAAAGCGUGCGCAGGCGGCUUUGCAAGUCAGACGUGAAAUCCCCGGGCUUAACCUGGGAAUGGCGUUUGAAACUACGGAGCUGGAGUGUGGCAGAGGGAGGUAGAAUUCCACGUGUAGCGGUGAAAUGCGUAGAUAUGUGGAGGAAUACCGAUGGCGAAGGCAGCCUCCUGGGCCAACACUGACGCUCAUGCACGAAAGCGUGGGGAGCAAACAGG
This 253-nucleotide ribosomal RNA is filed under the name uncultured bacterium. RNAcentral describes it as "partial 16S ribosomal RNA". It matches the Rfam family "Bacterial small subunit ribosomal RNA", at positions 524 to 776 of the family's 1533-position model. The record is from RNAcentral.